AGGCCCGUAACUCAGUGGACAGAGUGGCUGGGUUCGGCCCGGAACGUCUUCCCGUGGUUCGAAUCCCCGCGGGCUCG
This 77-nucleotide transfer RNA is filed under the name Halobacteriales archaeon QS_9_67_15. Its description in RNAcentral is "tRNA-Arg". The record is from RNAcentral. Lineage: Archaea; Methanobacteriati; Methanobacteriota; Halobacteria; Halobacteriales.